This 1016-nucleotide ribosomal RNA is filed under the name uncultured bacterium. RNAcentral describes it as "bacterial SSU rRNA". It matches the Rfam family "Bacterial small subunit ribosomal RNA", at positions 357 to 1376 of the family's 1533-position model. The record is from RNAcentral.
AGGAAUAUUGGUCAAUGGACGAGAGUCUGAACCAGCCAAGUAGCGUGAAGGAUGACUGCCCUAUGGGUUGUAAACUUCUUUUAUACGGGAAUAAAGUUAGCCACGUGUGGCUUUUUGUAUGUACCGUAUGAAUAAGGAUCGGCUAACUCCGUGCCAGCAGCCGCGGUAAUACGGAGGAUCCGAGCGUUAUCCGGAUUUAUUGGGUUUAAAGGGAGCGUAGGCGGGUUGUUAAGUCAGUUGUGAAAGUUUGCGGCUCAACCGUAAAAUUGCAGUUGAUACUGGCGACCUUGAGUGCAACAGAGGUAGGCGGAAUUCGUGGUGUAGCGGUGAAAUGCUUAGAUAUCACGAAGAACUCCGAUUGCGAAGGCAGCUUACUGGAUUGUAACUGACGCUGAUGCUCGAAAGUGUGGGUAUCAAACAGGAUUAGAUACCCUGGUAGUCCACACAGUAAACGAUGAAUACUCGCUGUUGGCGAUAUACGGUCAGCGGCCAAGCGAAAGCAUUAAGUAUUCCACCUGGGGAGUACGCCGGCAACGGUGAAACUCAAAGGAAUUGACGGGGGCCCGCACAAGCGGAGGAACAUGUGGUUUAAUUCGAUGAUACGCGAGGAACCUUACCCGGGCUUAAAUUGCAACUGACUGAACCGGAAACGGUUCUUUCUUCGGACAGUUGUGAAGGUGCUGCAUGGUUGUCGUCAGCUCGUGCCGUGAGGUGUCGGCUUAAGUGCCAUAACGAGCGCAACCCUUAUCGAUAGUUACUAGCAGGUCAUGCUGAGGACUCUAUUGAGACUGCCGUCGUAAGAUGUGAGGAAGGUGGGGAUGACGUCAAAUCAGCACGGCCCUUACGUCCGGGGCUACACACGUGUUACAAUGGGGGGUACAGAAGGCAGCUACACGGCGACGUGGUGCUAAUCCCGAAAGCCUCUCUCAGUUCGGAUUGGAGUCUGCAACCCGACUCCAUGAAGCGGGAUUCGCUAGUAAUCGCGCAUCAGCCACGGCGCGGUGAAUACGUUCCCG